Long non-coding RNA from Arabidopsis lyrata subsp. lyrata, 274 nucleotides. RefSeq lists it as uncharacterized. NCBI's taxonomy places the organism in Eukaryota, Viridiplantae, Streptophyta, Magnoliopsida, Brassicales, Brassicaceae. The transcript is spliced from 2 exons. The record is from RefSeq and is a predicted model, not a curated record.
GCCAACGAAAAAGCCUCUGUGUUUCUCUGCUUUUUUUUUUUCCUGCCGAAGGAAAAGUUUUGCCGAUUUUUUGCAGCUGCAAAUUCGAGUUCUGUUUCGCCUGUGGAGCUGAGUGGAACAAGGAAGCCAACUGUAACUGCCCGCCCCAUGAUGAAUCCUAGUAGGGAACGGGUUUGGAGUAAGAGGACUAGUGAUGUUUUUGUGUUGCAUUAAGUACGGUUAAGGAUUUGGUUUUUGUACUUCAAAUUUUCACAAGAGUUAUUUUGUCUUUGCA